RNAcentral lists this ribosomal RNA (355 nucleotides) under uncultured bacterium. Its description in RNAcentral is "bacterial SSU rRNA". It matches the Rfam family "Bacterial small subunit ribosomal RNA", at positions 8 to 350 of the family's 1533-position model. The record is from RNAcentral.
AGAGUUUGAUCAUGGCUCAGGAUGAACGCUAGCUACAGGCUUAACACAUGCAAGUCGAGGGGAAACGACAUCGAAAGCUUGCUUUUGAUGGGCGUCGACCGGCGCACGGGUGAGUAACGCGUAUCCAACCUGCCCACCACUUGGGGAUAACCUUGCGAAAGUAAGACUAAUACCCAAUGACGUCUCUAGAAGACAUCUGAAAGAGAUUAAAGAUUUAUCGGUGAUGGAUGGGGAUGCGUCUGAUUAGCUUGGUUGGCGGGGUAACGGCCCACCAAGGCGACGAUCGAGUAGGGGUUCUGAGAGGAAGGUCCCCCAGAUUGGAACUGAGACACGGUCCAAACUCCGUACGGAGGCA